Molecule: ribosomal RNA, 478 nt
Filed under: Semisulcospira ningpoensis
Lineage: Eukaryota; Metazoa; Mollusca; Gastropoda; Semisulcospiridae
Description: partial large subunit ribosomal RNA
Rfam family: Bacterial large subunit ribosomal RNA
Source: RNAcentral
GUUUAUCAAAAACAUGGCUCUUUGUAAACAAAAAAUAAAGAGUCGGGCCUGCCCAGUGAAUUUUCAACGGCCGCGGUACUCUGACCGUGCAAAGGUAGCAUAAUCAUUUGCCUUAUAAUUGAAGGCUAGUAUGAAUGGUUUGACGAGAGCAAUACUGUCUCCUUAUUAUUUUCAAGAACUUAACUUUUAGGUGAAGAGGCCUAAAUUUUAUUGAAGGACAAGAAGACCCUGUCGAGCUUAAAAGAUUAUAUAGGAGUCUAUAUAUCUUUAGAUAAAUUUCUAUUGAGCUUUUUAGUUGGGGCGACUGAGGAACAAAAAAAGCUUCUUUUUAAAAAAUAAACAAUCAUGUUUAGAUCCGGUAGUAGCGAUUAAGGAAAUUAGUUACCGCAGGGAUAACAGCAUAAUCUCUCUUGAGAGACCUAAUCGAAAGAGGGGGUUGUGACCUCGAUGUUGGACUAGAAUAUCCUAAAGACGCAGA